RNAcentral lists this ribosomal RNA (1565 nucleotides) under Staphylococcus aureus. RNAcentral describes it as "bacterial SSU rRNA". It matches the Rfam family "Bacterial small subunit ribosomal RNA". Lineage: Bacteria; Bacillati; Bacillota; Bacilli; Caryophanales; Staphylococcaceae. The record is from RNAcentral.
AGAGUUUGAUCCUGGCUCAGGAUGAACGCUGGCGGCGUGCCUAAUACAUGCAAGUCGAGCGAACGGACGAGAAGCUUGCUUCUCUGAUGUUAGCGGCGGACGGGUGAGUAACACGUGGAUAACCUACCUAUAAGACUGGGAUAACUUCGGGAAACCGGAGCUAAUACCGGAUAAUAUUUUGAACCGCAUGGUUCAAAAGUGAAAGACGGUCUUGCUGUCACUUAUAGAUGGAUCCGCGCUGCAUUAGCUAGUUGGUAAGGUAACGGCUUACCAAGGCAACGAUGCAUAGCCGACCUGAGAGGGUGAUCGGCCACACUGGAACUGAGACACGGUCCAGACUCCUACGGGAGGCAGCAGUAGGGAAUCUUCCGCAAUGGGCGAAAGCCUGACGGAGCAACGCCGCGUGAGUGAUGAAGGUCUUCGGAUCGUAAAACUCUGUUAUUAGGGAAGAACAUAUGUGUAAGUAACUGUGCACAUCUUGACGGUACCUAAUCAGAAAGCCACGGCUAACUACGUGCCAGCAGCCGCGGUAAUACGUAGGUGGCAAGCGUUAUCCGGAAUUAUUGGGCGUAAAGCGCGCGUAGGCGGUUUUUUAAGUCUGAUGUGAAAGCCCACGGCUCAACCGUGGAGGGUCAUUGGAAACUGGAAAACUUGAGUGCAGAAGAGGAAAGUGGAAUUCCAUGUGUAGCGGUGAAAUGCGCAGAGAUAUGGAGGAACACCAGUGGCGAAGGCGACUUUCUGGUCUGUAACUGACGCUGAUGUGCGAAAGCGUGGGGAUCAAACAGGAUUAGAUACCCUGGUAGUCCACGCCGUAAACGAUGAGUGCUAAGUGUUAGGGGGUUUCCGCCCCUUAGUGCUGCAGCUAACGCAUUAAGCACUCCGCCUGGGGAGUACGACCGCAAGGUUGAAACUCAAAGGAAUUGACGGGGACCCGCACAAGCGGUGGAGCAUGUGGUUUAAUUCGAAGCAACGCGAAGAACCUUACCAAAUCUUGACAUCCUUUGACAACUCUAGAGAUAGAGCNNNNNNNNNNNNNNNNNNNNNNNNNNUUCCCCUUCGGGGGACAAAGUGACAGGUGGUGCAUGGUUGUCGUCAGCUCGUGUCGUGAGAUGUUGGGUUAAGUCCCGCAACGAGCGCAACCCUUAAGCUUAGUUGCCAUCAUUAAGUUGGGCACUCUAAGUUGACUGCCGGUGACAAACCGGAGGAAGGUGGGGAUGACGUCAAAUCAUCAUGCCCCUUAUGAUUUGGGCUACACACGUGCUACAAUGGACAAUACAAAGGGCAGCGAAACCGUGAGGUCAAGCAAAUCCCAUAAAGUUGUUCUCAGUUCGGAUUGUAGUCUGCAACUCGACUACAUGAAGCUGGAAUCGCUAGUAAUCGUAGAUCAGCAUGCUACGGUGAAUACGUUCCCGGGUCUUGUACACACCGCCCGUCACACCACGAGAGUUUGUAACACCCGAAGCCGGUGGAGUAACCUUUUAGGAGCUAGCCGUCGAAGGUGGGACAAAUGAUUGGGGUGAAGUCGUAACAAGGUAGCCGUAUCGGAAGGUGCGGCUGGAUCACCU